UCCCUAAUAGCUCAGUUGGUAAAGAAUCUGCCUGCAAUGCAGAAGACCUGGGUUUGAUCCCUGGGUUGGGAA
RNAcentral lists this transfer RNA (72 nucleotides) under Bos taurus (domestic cattle). It matches the Rfam family "tRNA". From Rfam's summary of the family: Transfer RNA (tRNA) molecules are approximately 80 nucleotides in length. Their secondary structure includes four short double-helical elements and three loops (D, anti-codon, and T loops). Lineage: Eukaryota; Metazoa; Chordata; Mammalia; Artiodactyla; Bovidae. RNAcentral also lists the same sequence under 1 other name. The record is from Rfam by way of RNAcentral.